RNAcentral lists this ribosomal RNA (1489 nucleotides) under Citrobacter sp. S46_ASV_140. Its description in RNAcentral is "partial 23S ribosomal RNA". It matches the Rfam family "Bacterial large subunit ribosomal RNA", at positions 1466 to 2925 of the family's 2925-position model. Lineage: Bacteria; Pseudomonadati; Pseudomonadota; Gammaproteobacteria; Enterobacterales; Enterobacteriaceae. The record is from RNAcentral. RNAcentral also lists the same sequence under 1 other name.
GGGGGGACGGAGAAGGCUAUGUUAGCCGGGCGACGGUUGUCCCGGUUUAAGCAUGUAGGCGGAGAUUCCAGGUAAAUCCGGAGUCUUGUUAACGCUGAGGUGUGAUGACGAGGCACUACGGUGCUGAAGUAACAAAUGCCCUGCUUCCAGGAAAAGCCUCUAAGCAUCAGGUAACACAAAAUCGUACCCCAAACCGACACAGGUGGUCAGGUAGAGAAUACCAAGGCGCUUGAGAGAACUCGGGUGAAGGAACUAGGCAAAAUGGUGCCGUAACUUCGGGAGAAGGCACGCUGAUAUGUAGGUGAAGUGAUUUACUCAUGGAGCUGAAAUCAGUCGAAGAUACCAGCUGGCUGCAACUGUUUAUUAAAAACACAGCACUGUGCAAACACGAAAGUGGACGUAUACGGUGUGACGCCUGCCCGGUGCCGGAAGGUUAAUUGAUGGGGUUAUCCGUAAGGAGAAGCUCUUGAUCGAAGCCCCGGUAAACGGCGGCCGUAACUAUAACGGUCCUAAGGUAGCGAAAUUCCUUGUCGGGUAAGUUCCGACCUGCACGAAUGGCGUAAUGAUGGCCAGGCUGUCUCCACCCGAGACUCAGUGAAAUUGAACUCGCUGUGAAGAUGCAGUGUACCCGCGGCAAGACGGAAAGACCCCGUGAACCUUUACUAUAGCUUGACACUGAACACUGGUCCUUGAUGUGUAGGAUAGGUGGGAGGCUUUGAAGUGUGGACGCCAGUCUGCAUGGAGCCAACCUUGAAAUACCACCCUUUAAUGGCUGGUGUUCUAACGUAGACCCGUAAUCCGGGUUGCGGACAGUGUCUGGUGGGUAGUUUGACUGGGGCGGUCUCCUCCUAAAGAGUAACGGAGGAGCACGAAGGUUAGCUAAUCCUGGUCGGACAUCAGGAGGUUAGUGCAAAGGCAUAAGCUAGCUUGACUGCGAGAGUGACGGCUCGAGCAGGUGCGAAAGCAGGUCUUAGUGAUCCGGUGGUUCUGAAUGGAAGGGCCAUCGCUCAACGGAUAAAAGGUACUCCGGGGAUAACAGGCUGAUACCGCCCAAGAGUUCAUAUCGACGGCGGUGUUUGGCACCUCGAUGUCGGCUCAUCACAUCCUGGGGCUGAAGUAGGUCCCAAGGGUAUGGCUGUUCGCCAUUUAAAGUGGUACGCGAGCUGGGUUUAGAACGUCGUGAGACAGUUCGGUCCCUAUCUGCCGUGGGCGCUGGAGAAUUGAGGGGGGCUGCUCCUAGUACGAGAGGACCGGAGUGGACGCAUCACUGGUGUUCGGGUUGUCAUGCCAAUGGCAUUGCCCGGUAGCUAAAUGCGGAAGAGAUAAGUGCUGAAAGCAUCUAAGCACGAAACUUGCCCCGAGAUGAGUUCUCCCUGACCCUUUAAGGGUCCUGAAGGAACGUUGAAGACGACGACGUUGAUAGGUCGGGUGUGUAAGCGUAGCGAUACGUUGAGCUAACCGAUACUAAUGAACCGUGAGGCUUAACCUU